AGAGAAAAUAAGAAAUAUAAAGUUGGGCUGCUAACUUGACUUUGGGGACUGCGAGCUCCUUUCUCUU
RNAcentral lists this transfer RNA (67 nucleotides) under Dendropoma gregarium. Its description in RNAcentral is "tRNA-Ser". The record is from RNAcentral. Lineage: Eukaryota; Metazoa; Mollusca; Gastropoda; Littorinimorpha; Vermetidae.